Molecule: ribosomal RNA, 301 nt
Filed under: uncultured bacterium
Lineage: Bacteria
Description: partial 16S ribosomal RNA
Rfam family: Bacterial small subunit ribosomal RNA
Source: RNAcentral
CAGCAGCCGCGGUAAUACAGAGGGUGCGAGCGUUAAUCGGAUUUACUGGGCGUAAAGCGUGCGUAGGCGGCUAAUUGAGUCGGAUGUGAAAUCCCCGAGCUUAACUUGGGAAUUGCAUUUGAUACUGGUUAGCUAGAGUGUGGGAGAGGAUGGUAGAAUUCCAGGUGUAGCGGUGAAAUGCGUAGAGAUCUGGAGGAAUACCGAUGGCGAAGGCAGCCAUCUGGCCUAACACUGACGCUGAGGUACGAAAGCAUGGGGAGCAAACAGGAUUAGAUACCCGCGUAGUCCCUGUCUCUUAUAA